GAGCUUGAUCGUGGCUCAGGACGAACGCUGGCGGCGUGCUUAACACAUGCAAGUCGAACGGGCAUCUUCGGGUGUUAGUGGCGAACGGGUGAGUAACACGUGGGCAACCUGCCCCUAGCUCUGGGAUAACUCCGGGAAACCGGGGCUAAUACUGGAUAUGACUGGCCUGCGCAUGUGGGUUGGUGGAAAGUUUUUCGGCUAGGGAUGGGCCCGCGGCCUAUCAGCUUGUUGGUGGGGUGAUGGCCUACCAAGGCGACGACGGGUAGCCGGCCUGAGAGGGCGACCGGCCACACUGGGACUGAGACACGGCCCAGACUCCUACGGGAGGCAGCAGUGGGGAAUAUUGCGCAAUGGCGGAAGCCUGACGCAGCGACGCCGCGUGGGGGAUGACGGCCUU
RNAcentral lists this ribosomal RNA (397 nucleotides) under uncultured bacterium. RNAcentral's name for it is "bacterial SSU rRNA". It matches the Rfam family "Bacterial small subunit ribosomal RNA", at positions 9 to 418 of the family's 1533-position model. The record is from RNAcentral.